Salvia miltiorrhiza (redroot sage) is the source of this 833-nucleotide long non-coding RNA. RefSeq lists it as uncharacterized. The transcript is spliced from 2 exons. NCBI's taxonomy places the organism in Eukaryota, Viridiplantae, Streptophyta, Magnoliopsida, Lamiales, Lamiaceae. The record is from RefSeq and is a predicted model, not a curated record.
AAAAAAGUAACAUUUAAUUUGAAAUCAAUUUUAAAAUUGGGUGACAAUUUUGUAGUUAUAAUAAAAUUAAAAAUUUAUUUAUAAAUUAUAUAUCAAUCUUAUAAAAUAUAAAAAUAUUUUCUCGUGCAUUGCACGGGGUGCAAAAUUAUAGUAUAUAUAUAAUAUAUUGUUUGAUUCUUACAAAAGCAUUAAUUUCAUACAAAAGCACGGAGUAGUACUUUUUAGGGGCAAAUAUUUACGUAUUAAUCCUUUAUCAAUAAGUGAAAAAAAAAAAAAAAAACUUAAUCACGUUUGUAUACAGAAUAUCCAAACUAAUUGAGCCCAAACUAUAUAUAUAUAUAUAUAGAACUAAAAAAAAAACAACUCAAAACCUACUAUAAGUCAAAAGCUAAUGGGAAUUGCCGUCAAAAUGCAUUCCUCAAAAAAACUAAAUAGAAAAAUCGUUCCUCUUUUUACACCCAAAAAAUCAGAAUCAAUUUGUCUUCCUUCUGCCUCUCCAUUGUUCCUCUUUUUCUCUAUUUCACAUUUGCCUCGACGCCGUUCGUCUCUCUCCGCAUCCACGCGGCCGCCUAUCCUCUCUCUGCCUCUGCGCGCUUUCUCAACAUGGGCUCGCGCUCAGCACACCGUUCGCCGCCUCGCCGCCUCCAUGCCCAUCGAUUCUCUUCAUUGAAAGUUCCUCCCGGUUCAAAAGUGGGGAUAUCAAAGAAAUAGGAGGAAUAAUGAAGCAGGAUGAUGAGUUAAGCAGAGGUACUAUACUAUUUAUCAUCAGUGGUGUGUCCCAACACUUUAUCAUGUCUCCUUGUAGCUAUAAAAAAAUAAAGCAUGUUUGUUGA